GGCAGCAUGGUUAAGUAGAAAGAACUUCAGUUUUUUAGUUAGACAGACCUGAGUUCAAAUUUUAGUUUUGCCA
Molecule: transfer RNA, 73 nt
Filed under: Sus scrofa (pig)
Lineage: Eukaryota; Metazoa; Chordata; Mammalia; Artiodactyla; Suidae
Rfam family: tRNA
About the family: Transfer RNA (tRNA) molecules are approximately 80 nucleotides in length. Their secondary structure includes four short double-helical elements and three loops (D, anti-codon, and T loops).
Source: Rfam by way of RNAcentral